GAUGAACGCUGGCGGCGUGCCUAAUACAUGCAAGUAGAACGCUGAAGGAGGAGCUUGCUCUUCUGGAUGAGUUGCGAACGGGUGAGUAACGCGUAGGUAACCUGCCUGGUAGCGGGGGAUAACUAUUGGAAACGAUAGCUAAUACCGCAUGACAACAGUUCUUGCAUGAUAACUGUUUAAAAGUGGCACCUGCUCCACUACCAGAUGCACCUGCGUUGUAUUAUCUAGUUGGUGAGGUAACGGCUCACCAAGGCGACGGUACAUCUCCGAGCUGAGAGGGUGAUCGGCCAAAAUGGGAAUGAGACACGGCCCAGGCGCCUACGGGAGGCAGCAGUAGGGAAUCUUCGGCAAUGGACGGAAGUCUGACCGAGCAACGCCGCGGGAGUGAAGAAGGGUGUCGGAUCGUAAAGCUCUGUUGUAAGAGAAGAACGAGUGUGAGAGUGGAAAGUUCACACUGUGACGGUAUCUUACCAGAAAGGGACGGCUAACUACGUG
This 495-nucleotide ribosomal RNA is filed under the name uncultured bacterium. Its description in RNAcentral is "partial 16S ribosomal RNA". It matches the Rfam family "Bacterial small subunit ribosomal RNA", at positions 28 to 507 of the family's 1533-position model. The record is from RNAcentral.